CUUCAAUAUCGCCACCUACUGUGGUGGAGUGUAAUAUCAUAACGGUAAACAUUUAAAUAAAGUGCACUGCACACUCGUCAGAAACUGAAUGUUAAAUAUUUAGCAAGAAUGUGUACAUCAGGCGUACUAAUAAAAAAAAUAUAUGCUGGUAAACACAGUUCAGCAAUUUACUAUCAAUCCUGGCUACAUUUCCACCUGCAAAUUGCCGUAAUUAAUAACAUCAGCACUAGAAAGUUCCCCCCUACUAUUUGUGACUUUACCUAAAUAUUCAUGUAUUUAAUUAUAAAAGUCCACUUUUCUCAACCUUCGUGGGAGAAGUAUCUGGAUUGAGGUUUAUGAACGAUUUAGUUUAGCUAAUCAUCGACUACUCCCUGGUGGACAAAAGAUGAUCAACAGCAUAGUUCCAAAUGGACUCAGUACUUCCUCAAUUCAACAGAAAGGGCUGUAUUAUAGCGGUGUGCUUGGUAGUUGCUUGAAGAAUUCAUGAGAUAACCCUGUCUCUGGUUACAUUUAUGAUUCUGUGGGAGAGUUGCUGCUCUGAGAGUGAAGAGGAACUUAGUCUGUCAUGGACACACACCAAGGAACUCAGACUCUGUCGUUGAUAUGUACAAAGCUAAUCCUAAAGUCAAUGAGGACUGGGGAGUACUGCACCAAAGCUCAGAGACCACGCUGCUGCCACAACUUGGUACUGACUCGGCAGCCAUUUUGGGAACAACAUCAAAUCAUUUUGUACCAGAGGUGCCAGACAAAGACUAGCCAAAAGCAAUCCAGAGAGAAGGACCCUAGCAACAAAGCUACAAUGAGGAGGCAGACCUCCCUGUUCCUGACUUCAAAACCUGACCUUUCACAAAAUAAUUGUCACUGCUAAGCUGUAGCUUCUUUUGGACAUGGUGGUAGACUGGCGGGGCAAUGCUGCGGCCCGGGAUCCUUCAUCACAACGCAUGCUUUUAAAAAAUAAAAACAUUUGAUGCAACGUUUGAUGCUCUUUAACCAGUUUAUUUUGAAUUUGACGCCAUUUGAAUUGCAUUGAUGCUAAAGCGAUCAAUCUGUUUUAUUCCUUAAUGUAUAUUUCGUAAUAGUAAAGAGGUAAUUUGUCGUGCAACACUUGUAGCUUGUAAGGCAAUCAUAC
Molecule: long non-coding RNA, 1129 nt
Filed under: Salmo salar (Atlantic salmon)
Lineage: Eukaryota; Metazoa; Chordata; Actinopteri; Salmoniformes; Salmonidae
Description: lncRNA (ENSSSAG00000082576.1, ENSSSAG00000112952.1)
Source: RNAcentral